GCCGCCUUAGCUCAGUCGUUAGAGCAACUGAUUUGUAGUCAGUAGGUCGUCCGUCCGAUUCGGACAAGCGGCACCA
Molecule: transfer RNA, 76 nt
Filed under: Xanthomonas nasturtii
Lineage: Bacteria; Pseudomonadati; Pseudomonadota; Gammaproteobacteria; Lysobacterales; Lysobacteraceae
Description: tRNA-Thr
Rfam family: tRNA
About the family: Transfer RNA (tRNA) molecules are approximately 80 nucleotides in length. Their secondary structure includes four short double-helical elements and three loops (D, anti-codon, and T loops).
Source: RNAcentral